RNAcentral lists this ribosomal RNA (406 nucleotides) under uncultured bacterium. Its description in RNAcentral is "partial 16S ribosomal RNA". It matches the Rfam family "Bacterial small subunit ribosomal RNA", at positions 30 to 526 of the family's 1533-position model. The record is from RNAcentral.
AUUGAACGCUGGCGGCAGGCCUAACACAUGCAAGUCGUGCGAGCGGCGGACGGGUGAGUAAUGUAUGGGGAUCUGCCUGAUGGAGGGGGAUAACUACUGGAAACGGUAGCUAAUACCACAUACCAACAGAUUAACCCAUAUGGGAUUAGCUUGUAGGGGAGUUAACGGCUCACCUAGGCGACGGUCCCUACCUGGUCUGCGAGGAUGAUCAGCCACACUGGGAGUGAGACCCGGCCCAGAAUCUUACGGGAGGCAGCAGUGGGGAAUAUUGCACAAUGGGCGCAAGCCUGAUGCAGCCAUGCCGCGUGUAUGAAGAAGGCCUGCGGGUGGUAAAGUACUUUCAGUCGGGAGGCGUUACCGACAGAAGAAGCACCGGCUAACUCCGUGCCAGCAGCCGCGGUAAUUC